RNAcentral lists this ribosomal RNA (465 nucleotides) under uncultured bacterium. RNAcentral's name for it is "bacterial SSU rRNA". It matches the Rfam family "Bacterial small subunit ribosomal RNA", at positions 331 to 793 of the family's 1533-position model. The record is from RNAcentral.
CCAGACUCCUACGGGAGGCAGCAGUGAGGAAUAUUGGUCAAUGGCCGAGAGGCUGAACCAGCCAAGUCGCGUGAGGGAAGACGGCCCUACGGGUUGUAAACCUCUUUUGUCGGGGAGCAAAUUCCGCCACGUGUGGCGGAGUCGAGAGUACCCGAAGAAAAAGCAUCGGCUAACUCCGUGCCAGCAGCCGCGGUAAUACGGAGGAUGCGAGCGUUAUCCGGAUUUAUUGGGUUUAAAGGGUGCGUAGGCGGGCAUUUAAGCCGGCGGUCAAAUGUCGGGGCUCAACCCCGGCCUGCCGUCGGAACUGGGUGCCUUGAGUGGGCGAGAAGUAUGCGGAAUGCGCGGUGUAGCGGUGAAAUGCAUAGAUAUCGCGCAGAACUCCGAUUGCGAAGGCAGCAUGCCGGCUCCACACUGACGCUGAGGCACGAAAGCGUGGGUAUCGAACAGGAUUAGAUACCCUGGUAA